CCCCGCAAGGGGUAAGUAGAGUGGCAAACGGGUGAGUAACACGUGGGUGACCUGCCUUAGAGUGGGGGAUAACGUCCCGAAAGGGACGCUAAUACCGCAUAACAUCCUGCCUUUGAAGAGGUGGAGAUCAAAGCCGGGGACCGCAAGGCCUGGCGCUUAAAGAGGGGCCCGCGCCUGAUUAGCUAGUUGGUGAGGUAAUGGCUCACCAAGGCAACGAUCAGUAUCCGGCCUGAGAGGGCGGACGGACACACUGGGACUGAGACACGGCCCAGACUCCUACGGGAGGCAGCAGUGGGGAAUUGUUCGCAAUGGGCGCAAGCCUGACGACGCAACGCCGCGUGGAGGAUGAAGACCUUCGGG
RNAcentral lists this ribosomal RNA (360 nucleotides) under uncultured bacterium. RNAcentral's name for it is "bacterial SSU rRNA". It matches the Rfam family "Bacterial small subunit ribosomal RNA", at positions 75 to 422 of the family's 1533-position model. The record is from RNAcentral.